GAGCGGUAGCGCGGGGGCAACCCUGGCGGCGAGCGGCGAACGGGUGAGUAACACAUCGGAACGUGUCCAGUAGUGGGGGAUAACCAGUCGAAAGAUUGGCUAAUAUCGUAUACGAUCUACGGAUGAAAGCGGGGGACCGCAAGGCCUCGCGCUGUUGGAGCGGUCGAUGUCGGAUUAGCUUGUUGGCGGGGUAAAAGCUUACCAAGGCGACGAUCCGUAGCUGGUCUGAGAGGACGACCAGUCAUACUGGAACUGAGACACGGUCCAGACUCCUACGGGAGGCAGUAGUGGGGAAUUUUGGACAAUGGGGGAAACCCUGAUCUAGCCAUGCCGCGUGAGUGAAGAAGGCCUUCGGGUUGUAAAGCUCUUUCGGUGGGGACGAAACGGUCCGUGACAACACCACGGACUAAUGAUGGUACCCGCAUAAGAAGCAUCGGCUAACUACGUGCCAGCAGCCGCGGUAAUACGUAGGGUGCAGGCGUUAAUCGGAAUUACUGGGCGUAAAGCGUGCGCAGGCGGCCUCUUAAGUCAGAUGUGAAGUCCCCGGGCUUAACCUGGGAACUGCGUUUGAAACUGGGAGGCUAGAGUGUGGAAGAGGGGGGUGGAAUUCCAGGUGUAG
RNAcentral lists this ribosomal RNA (619 nucleotides) under uncultured bacterium. RNAcentral's name for it is "bacterial SSU rRNA". It matches the Rfam family "Bacterial small subunit ribosomal RNA", at positions 64 to 678 of the family's 1533-position model. The record is from RNAcentral.